CCUACGGGGGGCAGCAGUGGGGAAUAUUGGACAAUGGGGGAAACCCUGAUCCAGCGACGCCGCGUGAGUGAAGAAGUAUUUCGGUACGUAAAGCUCUAUCAGCAGGAAAGAAAAUGACGGUACCUGACUAAGAAGCACCGGCUAUCUACGUGCCAGCAGCCGCGGUACUACGUAGGGGGCAAGCGUUAUCCGGAUUUACUGGGUGUAAAGGGGGCGUAGGCGGCCGCGCAAGUCUGGAGUGAAAUGCCGGGGCCCAACCCCGGAACUGCUCUGGAAACUGUGACGCUGGAGUGCAGGAGAGGUAAGCGGAAUUCCUGGUGUAGCGGUGAAAUGCGUAGAUAUCAGGAGGAACACCGGCGGCGAAGGCGGCUUACUGGACUGUAACUGACGUUGAGGCUCGAAGGCGUGGGGAGCAAACAGGAUUAGAUACCCUAGUAGUC
RNAcentral lists this ribosomal RNA (440 nucleotides) under uncultured bacterium. RNAcentral's name for it is "partial 16S ribosomal RNA". It matches the Rfam family "Bacterial small subunit ribosomal RNA", at positions 338 to 795 of the family's 1533-position model. The record is from RNAcentral.